Molecule: ribosomal RNA, 372 nt
Filed under: uncultured bacterium
Lineage: Bacteria
Description: bacterial SSU rRNA
Rfam family: Bacterial small subunit ribosomal RNA
Source: RNAcentral
UCUUCAGCAGCCGCGGUAAUAGGGAGGGUGCAAGCGUUAAUCGGAAUUAGUGGGCGUAGAGCGCACGCAGGCGGUCUGACAAGUCGGAUGUGAAAUCCCCGGGCUCAACCUGGGAAUCGCAUUAGAAACUGGCAGGCUGGAGUCUUGGGGAGGGGGGUAGAAUUCCAGGUGUAGCGGUGAAAUGCGUAGAGAUAUGGAGGAACCCCGGGGGCGAAGGGGGCCCCGGGGACAAAGACUGACGGUCAGGUGAGAAAGCGUGGGGAGCAAACAGGAUGAGAUACCCUGGUAGUCCACGCUGUAAACGAUGUGGACGGGGAGGUUGUCCCUUGAGGAGCGGCUGCCUAGCUAACGCUUAAUCUUACCGCCUCGGGA